This 267-nucleotide long non-coding RNA is filed under the name Ananas comosus (pineapple). Its description in RNAcentral is "long non-coding RNA (ACOM_LNC017395)". Lineage: Eukaryota; Viridiplantae; Streptophyta; Magnoliopsida; Poales; Bromeliaceae. The record is from RNAcentral.
UAUGAAAAAACGGAAAGUAAGAACUUUUUACCUACCGACCGUCUCUAGAGCAAGUGGUAAGGAAUUUGGUGGUUGGUAUCCGAGGCUCAAGUUUGAAUCCUAGUUGAUUCAUAUUUCUAGAUAAGUUUAUUUUUAAAUGAAAUAAACGAAACGGAUAGCGUGUUACGUAUCAGUCAAAAGAAAAAAAGAAAACUUUUUACUUAAAUGUAUUUUUUAAAAAGACUAAAUUACUCCUGUAUUAUUUUAAAAAUUCUUAACCCUAUCUUC